AAAUGAAUAUCAUAAUAACUUAAGUAAUUGAAAAGAUAAGUGGACUAGUAUAGAUAGUAUUGUAAUAGGCCCAUUUCGCCCGGGCCCAUAACAAAAAACCAAAAAAACAAAAUAAAUAAAUAAAACCAAAUGUUAAUAAUCUAAGUCCCUUUUGUUACAACAGAGCCCAAACCAAAAUAAACCCAGCAUCCGACCCAAAUAUUAAACUCAGAUUAACCCAAUUAACUCAAAUAGCCCAGCACCCAAUGGCCCAAAACUAAACCAAAUUUUCGGCAGAAACCCUAAGGUUCCCUUGCGCUGCAACUGGUUUCCAACACCUUCCAGCACUGCUUUGCCUCCGGCCAGUCCCACGUGCGCCAUCAGCCAGCUGGCUCCAUACUUGCAACAAAUGGAAAUCACAACAGCAAAUGACAGAUAAUAUAACGGAAUAACAACAAACAAAUGAAGGGGGAAAAGGAGAAAUUUGUAAAUAUUUAUAUUUGAUUUUGGCUAUAUAAAGCCAAUUGUAUACUGUAAAGAAGGGGAGAAGGAAAUCUGUUUUUUUUUCAGAGAAAUAUUUUACGCAUACUAAAUACAAUCAAAGAUUAGAAGGUGAUUUUCGAUCUAUUUUCGGCAUUUCGAUUUCUUUUUUCCCUUGUUCUCGCCUACAUUUUUCGCAUAAAAAAAUAAGGAGAAAUGAGAGAGGAUUACCUUCGUGGGUGUACCGUCCGGGUCCUUGUCUCCUCCGUUGAAAUCGGAGUUUUAGAUAAAGAUUUUCAGGUGAAAAUAGGCUUUGAAUCUUAGCUUUAUUGGAUAUAAAAAGGGCUUUCUCAUCAUUCACCGAUUUUAAUAGUGAAAAUGGUGGUUAAAUGGUGGAUGAGGGAAGAGUUUUUUGGUUUGGCUGAAUGGGGAAGGAAGGAAGCUUUAGGGCACGUUUGGUUCGCUGUAUUGGAUUAGAGGUGUAUUGGAUUAGAGGUGUAAUGGAUUAGAGGUGUAUUGGAUUAGAGAUGUAAUGGAUUAGAGGUGUAUUGGAAUAGAGGUGUAAUAGCAAAUCAACUGUUUGGUUGAAUGUAAUGGAAUAGAGGCGUAAUAGUAAUCUUGUGUUUGGU
RNAcentral lists this long non-coding RNA (1088 nucleotides) under Gossypium barbadense (sea-island cotton). Its description in RNAcentral is "long non-coding RNA (GBAR_LNC002941)". The record is from RNAcentral. Lineage: Eukaryota; Viridiplantae; Streptophyta; Magnoliopsida; Malvales; Malvaceae.